AUCUUCGCCGUCUGCAGUUCGGCUCAAAUGUACAUGAGAAUGGAAGCACACCCAGGCAGCUGCCUUAAUGCUAAUGAACAGAUGUUGCUCUGCUGCUGGAGUCAGCAUGAUGGACUGAGUUGCUGGCAGGCCCACCCUUCUGCUGCGAAGAAGUGAGAAGGGUCAUCUGGACACAGAACAGCAUGCAGGGGUGCCUUGACUCAUCUGUGUUUCCAACUUUUUUUCCUUGUUGAUGCCCUCAUCUCUGACAUUCAAAAGCCUUUUAAGCCCAAAACCCCACACACUAAACUCUACCACCCACUGUCCUGUCCAUCUGAGGCCUUGUCAGCCAUUCUGUUCAACUGAUCACUUACCUGUAAUGUGCCCUUGUCCAUAACCGGAGAGGCCAGCAACUGAAAAGGUCAAAAUGUUUAUAAUAAGGUCAACAAGACCUCUGAGAGGAGAGGGAGGAUCAGAGUCAGGAGUGAUGGAAAAGUGUUUCCAAGCAACUGUAGCUUAGGCAGCCGAGCAGAUUUUCAUUACUCACAGUUGGUGGUCUCAUCGCAGGCCACUAUGCAUGCCAAAGUGUCUAAACACUAAGUUGAACCAAUUCUUUCUAGUUUACUGAGUUGACUCAACCUAUCAAAGCAUUACAUUGCUCCUAGACCACUUCAGGCAUUUGACUGUCCCUGACCAGUCCAAGGAAAAUAACUACAAAAAGGAAAUUAAGCAUACAUAAACAUGUAAUAUGCACAGUUUAAUUAGUAGAAUAAAUUAUAGUUAGCAACUAUUGUUUAUUGUAUUUCGUUUUCUUUUUAAGUUUGCACUUUGCUAUGUAUGACACAGCGUAACACAUCAGCACAGAAGAGAAUGUUAUUUCUGUGUUUAUGAUAUUCUUUCCAAAUUGUAUGUUAAAAGUUGUUGUGACAUUUGUGAUCCAAAAACUGGAAAUACAAAUACAAUGUGCUGCAGGAAACCCAACUGGAGUUAUUGCAGUGCAAAAGAGGUCGGACAUUCCGUCCCACAUUUUUUUUCCCCUGAAAAUCUAAAACCGUGGAAACAUUUUGCACAGAAAGGGAAAGAGUGAAUAGUGUGAAGUUUUACUAAGAGGGUCAUGUCACCAUACAUGGUUUUCUAUGUGUGGUGACCCUGAAUAUGAAGAACUGACUAUGUUUUGGUGGCAUUGAAAUGUCUUUAGUUUUGGUGCACAAUGACUAAAUUAACAUCUGCAUGAAAGUUACUUGAGGCAAUGUCUUCCAAACCACGUGUUGUUCUUUCUCUAGAUGAGUGAGAAGCUAUGCUGCAAAAUGAUGUGAAACAAAUCUUACAACUACACAGAUUUAACAGAUGCUUGCAUAAGAGAACACAUUAGGGAGCACUAUGAGGUUCUCUAUAUUGACCAAGACCAAUGAGAAACCAUGCAAAUCAAUUCACAUGAAAAAACAUUAUGUAUGCUUUGAUUUAAAUAGGCAAUAAUUGUUUGAAAAUGAAAUAAGUACACACUGGGAUAUUUUAUGCAGAUGUUCACUUCUAGUUUAUUUGUAAAAUCCUACUUUGUUUUCCACUUUUAGAUCCAAAGGUAUGACGUUUUCUAAAGUGGAGAAGAUCAAAUAUGUGGCAAAGCUGUAUUAAAGAGAAAAUUACUGUCUGUGUGGGCAGCAAAGUUCA
Gambusia affinis (western mosquitofish) is the source of this 1647-nucleotide long non-coding RNA. RefSeq lists it as uncharacterized. The record is from RefSeq and is a predicted model, not a curated record. The transcript has 2 exons. Lineage: Eukaryota; Metazoa; Chordata; Actinopteri; Cyprinodontiformes; Poeciliidae.